UACGUAGGGUGCGAGCGUUGUCCGGAAUUACUGGGCGUAAAGAGCUCGUAGGUGGUUUGUCGCGUUGUUCGUGAAAUCUCACGGCUUAACUGUGAGCGUGCGGGCGAUACGGGCAGACUGGAGUACUGCAGGGGAGACUGGAAUUCCUGGUGUAGCGGUGGAAUGCGCAGAUAUCAGGAGGAACACCGGUGGCGAAGGCGGCUAUCUGGACAGAAACUGACGCUGAGGCGCGAAAGCUAGGGGAGCAAACAGG
This 253-nucleotide ribosomal RNA is filed under the name uncultured bacterium. Its description in RNAcentral is "partial 16S ribosomal RNA". It matches the Rfam family "Bacterial small subunit ribosomal RNA", at positions 524 to 776 of the family's 1533-position model. The record is from RNAcentral.